CUACCCUUGACAUGUCCGGAAUCCUGCAGAGAUGCGGGAGUGCCCGAAAGGGAAUCGGAACACAGGUGCUGCAUGGCUGUCGUCAGCUCGUGUCGUGAGAUGUUGGGUUAAGUCCCGCAACGAGCGCAACCCUUAUCAUUAGUUGCUACGCAAGGGCACUCUAAUGAGACUGCCGGUGACAAGCCGGAGGAAGGUGGGGAUGACGUCAAGUCCUCAUGGCCCUUAUGGGUAGGGCUUCACACGUCAUACAAUGGUCGGUACAGAGGGUUGCCAAGCCGCGAGGUGGAGCCAAUCCCAGAAAGCCGAUCGUAGUCCGGAUUGUUCUCUGCAACUCGAGAGCAUGAAGUCGGAAUCGCUAGUAAUCGCGGAUCAGCAUGUCGCGGUGAAUACGUUCCC
This 396-nucleotide ribosomal RNA is filed under the name uncultured bacterium. RNAcentral's name for it is "bacterial SSU rRNA". It matches the Rfam family "Bacterial small subunit ribosomal RNA", at positions 975 to 1375 of the family's 1533-position model. The record is from RNAcentral.